CACACGCCUAGCCCGACGGGGCGAAAACCAGCAAACCUUCAACUGGCUGGCGUGUGUUUUCUUUUGGAGG
Molecule: small RNA, 70 nt
Filed under: Thiothrix eikelboomii
Lineage: Bacteria; Pseudomonadati; Pseudomonadota; Gammaproteobacteria; Thiotrichales; Thiotrichaceae
Description: int-alpA RNA
Rfam family: int-alpA RNA
About the family: Acidobacteria (1 example), Planctomycetes (1 example), Proteobacteria.
Source: Rfam by way of RNAcentral